UUGGAAGGAAAGAGAGACCAAGUGGUGGAUUUCCCCCUAAUUGGCUGUGAUACACGCAGUGGGCAGCUUCUGGUUGCAGCGCUCCAGUUCAGAAGAGAAGGAGAGAUGAGGAGAAACAUCACUGUAUGGUUGCUUCUGGUGUGUCCCCUGCUGGGAACUGGCCUGCAACCCAAGUGAAAGCCACAGACGGAACUGAUAGCUGAGUCUCUCUCAUAAAGGAUUUCAUGAAAUCAUCUUUUAA
Molecule: long non-coding RNA, 241 nt
Organism: Artibeus jamaicensis (Jamaican fruit-eating bat)
Lineage: Eukaryota; Metazoa; Chordata; Mammalia; Chiroptera; Phyllostomidae
Exons: 3
Source: RefSeq, a predicted model, not a curated record